Molecule: ribosomal RNA, 541 nt
Filed under: uncultured Ohtaekwangia sp.
Lineage: Bacteria; Pseudomonadati; Bacteroidota; Cytophagia; Cytophagales; Fulvivirgaceae
Description: bacterial SSU rRNA
Rfam family: Bacterial small subunit ribosomal RNA
Source: RNAcentral
UAGGGAAUAUUGGUCAAUGGAUGGAGGUCUGAACCAGCCAUGCCGCGUGCAGGAAGAAGGCCUUCUGGGUCGUAAACUGCUUUUGCCAGGGGAUAAAAAGAGCAUGCGUGCUUAAUUGAAGGUACCUGGUGAAUAAGCCACGGCUAACUACGUGCCAGCAGCCGCGGUAAUACGUAGGUGGCAAGCGUUGUCCGGACUUAUUGGGUUUAAAGGGUGCGUAGGUGGUCUAUUAAGUCAGUGCUGAAAUAUCCCGGCUUAACCGGGAGGGUGGCAUUGAUACUGAUGGACUUGAGUAAAGUUGAGGUAGGCGGAAUUGACGGUGUAGCGGUGAAAUGCUUAGAUAUCGACAAGAACACCGAUAGCGAAGGCAGCUUACUAAACUUUAACUGACACUGAUGCACGAAAGUGUGGGGAUCAAACAGGAUUAGAUACCCUGGUAGUCCACACUGUAAACGUUGAUUACUCGAUGUUGACGAUACACAGUCAGCGUCUUAGCGCAAGCGAUAAGUAAUCCACCUGGGGAGUACGCCGGCAACGGUGA